AAAAAAAAUAAAUUAGAUGACUAAAAAAAAAUAAUUAAAAAUUAAUAUUUAAUAAUAAAUUAAGGAAUAACAUAAAAAUAAUUUAAUAAAAAAUAAAUAAUUAAAACAAAAAAAGUAAAAAAUUACGCUACGCAACAAAGCUGAAGGAAAAUUUUGCGAAUGUUGUGCUAAGAGGUCUGUGGAGUAAAUGUUGGUGGUUUAAACACUACAGCUCUUGACUACAACACAAAAAUAUUCGAGGUGUGAGGAAAUUUUUACUAGCAUUUUCGAGUUUAGCAACUCAAAGCUAGCAAGAAACAGUCUCUAACAGCACAGUCGCAAAAUGACUGUAAACUAGCGUCAUUUUUUAUAGAAGAAAUGUAAAUAAUAUACCAUACAAUUAACUGGAAAAAAUUUCCAUAAAAAUUUUCUAACAAAAUUUAUUUCGAAAAUUUGCACUUGAGUUCGGCCAUGCCAUACAACAAAAAUUGUCUAAAGUAAUGUCAAGUUAAACCGUUUGAAAAAAAUAAAUAUACACAUAUUGUACAUAUAAACAUGGAUCUGUAGCUGUAUCUAAAAAUAUGAAGCCUAACAUUAAUCUUUCGGCGUGCCCACUAAACUUUUGAAAAAAGAAAAAUCAUAAUUAUCUUAAGCAUUAGUGAAAUUUAUGAAAAAUGACGUCAAAAGUACAAACACACUAGAAAAGAGGAACAAGAAUGAAAAAAAAAUAUGUGUACAAGUACAUACCCUUAAAAGCGAGUUCAAAAGCAGCGCGAGACUGUAUAACUUAUUGUGUUAAGACACUACGAACUUUGCGCUAUCAUUAGGUAUAUGUAUAUAAAAAGCAAUAAUAACUGUAAAUGCGUGUGUUAGAAGUUUAAUUGGAGGAAUUACUGCUAAAUGAGUGCUCAAAAACAUAAAUGAAUAAAGAGUACUAUAAUACUCAAAAAGCAAGCGAUAACAAAGAUAUGUGAAAGAAAUACUGACACAAGUCAAUGGAAGCGUAUGUUAUAAGAGAUAGGUGGCUCACUAACCGUGCGUGCAGGCUGGGGGUGGCAGACCACAGCGGUAUCGGAACAGGCAGCUGUAAAGCCGAUGAGUUGGCAGGGCAUGGUACCCUAGUCUCGCUAUCAAUAGAAUGGCAACCGAUCGGUAUUUCUCACUUCUCAUAUAUACUACUAGAUCCAGCUGGGCUUCGCGGAAACUUGGCCAGCGCUCGGCGACCAUCGGUUCAUGCGCUGCCGCAAGUUCCGUUUGGCACAAGAGCGAUCGUAAGAGAUGGAGAGUUUUCGAAAGAUAAACACGAUUUGGGAAAUAUAAAGUCAACUGGUUCAUGUCGACCCAAACGGAAAGCCGCGAUAUCAACCUAACGAUGAUAUUGUCAGAAGUUCUGCGAGAGCAGCUUUUUUCAGAGUGACUUUUGGAAAUCAAAUCGUAAUGACCGAGUUUUGAGUAUUUUUCAUUGAAAAUUUCACAAAAUCGUUAACAAAUAUGUAUCUUCGGCAUAAUAAAAAUUUUGAAUAAAAUAUUGCAUUUUUUAAAUGAAAAAAAAAAUAUUUUCGAAAAUAGGGCGUUUUUUGCUCGACGAAACCCAUGUAACCGCUUGGAGGAGUGGAAAACAGUUCUUAUCGUUUACUCCUAGC
Bactrocera oleae (olive fruit fly) is the source of this 1622-nucleotide non-coding RNA. The record is from RefSeq and is a predicted model, not a curated record. NCBI's taxonomy places the organism in Eukaryota, Metazoa, Arthropoda, Insecta, Diptera, Tephritidae.